GAAUUUUGCGCAAUGGGCGAAAGCCUGACGCAGCGACGCCGCGUGGAGGACGAAGGUCUUCGGAUCGUAAACUCCUGUCAAGCGGGACGAAUCCCGGACGGAUGAAUAAGCCGUUCGGUUGACGGUACCGCUGGAGGACGCCCCGGCUACCUCCGUCCCAGCAGCCCCGGUAAUACGGUGGGGGCCAGCGUUGUUCGGAGUCAUUGGGCGUAAAGGGCGCGUAGGCGGCCAUGCAAGUCGGAGGUGAAAGCCCUCGGCUCAACCGAGGAACUGCCUCCGAAACUGCAUGGCUUGAGUCCCGGAGAGGGUGGUGGAAUUCCCAGUGUAGCGGUGAAAUGCGUAGAUAUUGGGAGGAACACCGGUGGCGAAGGCGGCCACCUGGACGGGUACUGACGCUGAGGCGCGAAAGCGUGGGGAGCAAACAGG
This 426-nucleotide ribosomal RNA is filed under the name uncultured bacterium. RNAcentral describes it as "bacterial SSU rRNA". It matches the Rfam family "Bacterial small subunit ribosomal RNA", at positions 359 to 776 of the family's 1533-position model. The record is from RNAcentral.